CCUACGCGUGGCAGCAGUGGGGAAUAUUGCACAAUGGGCGAAAGCCUGAUGCAGCAACGCCGCGUGAGCGAUGAAGGCCUUCGGGUCGUAAAGCUCUGUCCUCAAGGAAGAUAAUGACGGUACUUGAGGAGAAAGCACCGACUAACUACGUGCCAGCAGCACAGGUAAUACGUAGGGGGCUAGCGUUAUCCGGAAUUACUGGGCGUAAAGGGUGCGUAGGUGGUUUCGUAAGUCAGAGGUGAAAGGCUACGGCUCAACCGUAGUAAGCCUUUGAAACUGGGGAACGUGAGUGCAGGAGAGGAGAGUGGAAUUCCUAGGGUAGCGGUGAAAUGCGUAGAGAUUAGGAGGAACACCAGUUGCGAAGGCGGCUCUCUGGACUGUAACUGACACUGAGGCACGAAAGCGUGGGGAGCAAACAGGAUUAGAUACCCUUGUAGUC
Molecule: ribosomal RNA, 439 nt
Filed under: uncultured bacterium
Lineage: Bacteria
Description: partial 16S ribosomal RNA
Rfam family: Bacterial small subunit ribosomal RNA
Source: RNAcentral